Molecule: transfer RNA, 440 nt
Filed under: Brucella intermedia
Lineage: Bacteria; Pseudomonadati; Pseudomonadota; Alphaproteobacteria; Hyphomicrobiales; Brucellaceae
Description: Ochrobactrum intermedium partial contains 16S rRNA, ITS1, tRNA-Ile, tRNA-Ala and 23S rRNA
Rfam family: tRNA (bases 79-152)
Source: RNAcentral
CGACGGCCGGUCGGCCUUGCGAAGCUUUGCUUCGGGGGUGGACUUCUGGAUCGCGUAGCAGCGUUUGCGUCGGUAUCUGGGCUUGUAGCUCAGUUCGUUAGAGCACACGCUUGAUAAGCGUGGGGUCGGAGGUUCAAGUCCUCCCAGGCCCACCAUGUUACAUGAUAAGGGGCCGUAGCUCAGCUGGGAGAGCACCUGCUUUGCAAGCAGGGGGUCGUCGGUUCGAUCCCGUCCGGCUCCACCAUCGUGUUUUGGUGUAGAGACGGAUAUUGGCAAUCAACGAAAGAAAGAAACAAGUUUGCGGACUUUUAUGAAAGUCUGCCUGUUCUGUAUGAAAUCGUGAAGAGAAGAUGUAAUCGGAUCAACUAUCCAGUUGAUGUCGCAAGAGCUUGCUCAAGCCUUGCAUUAUGAUUGAUGUGUUUAACCGCCAUCACCGAUUG